AGACCCAAUGAUUCCAGGCAAUUACAUUGAUCUCCCUACCGACAUAAGAUCCAGCAAAGAAUUAACAUCAGCUAUGGCUAGCAAACAAUUUCUGUUAAAAGUGUAAAUGAGCAUUCCCCUGUAGCUUGCAAAUGAGCAUUACACAAGCUCUUGCAUUUAGUUAGAGCCUGGGUUAGCAGGAAGAAACAAAUAAAAUGUAAAUAAAGAAUAGCUUACCUUCAGACUUCGGUACAUGUUUUUUCCUAAAAAGGCAGGGAAGAUGAACAAAAUAUGUAUACUCAGUAGUUGGUCUUGAUGACUUAACAACCUAACAACAGCAGCAAAAGAAUACAUUAGAUUCAGAAAAUCACCUAUUGUAGCAAGCCAUGAAUCGACCAUUUGAAUUAUCUGUCGAGGAUAAUGACAACAACAGGGAAAACACACAUUAAAAUCACAGACCACAAAUUGACACAUAGG
Molecule: long non-coding RNA, 456 nt
Filed under: Triticum aestivum (bread wheat)
Lineage: Eukaryota; Viridiplantae; Streptophyta; Magnoliopsida; Poales; Poaceae
Description: long non-coding RNA (TAES_LNC022810)
Source: RNAcentral